CCUACGGGAGGCUGCAGUCGAGAAUUAUUCACAAUGGGGGAAACCCUGAUGGUGCGACGCCGCGUGGGGGAAUGAAGGUCUUCGGAUUGUAAACCCCUGUCAUGUGGGAGCAAAUUAAAAAGAUAGUACCACAAGAGGAUGAGACGGCUAACUCUGAGCCAGCAGCCGCGGUAAUACCGAGGUCUCAAGCGUUGUUCGGAAUCACUGGGCGUAAAGGGUGCGUAGGCUGUUUCGUAAGUCGCUUGUGAAAGGCGCGGGCUCAACCCGCGGACGGCACCUGACACUGCGAGACUUGAGUAAUGGAGGGGGAACCGGAAUUCUAGGUGUAGCAGUGAAAUGCGUAGAUAUCGAGAGGAACACUAGUGGCGAAGGCGGGUUCCUGGACAUUAACUGACGCUGAGGCACGAAGGCCAGGGGAGCGAAAGGGAUUAGAUACCCCAGUAGUC
Molecule: ribosomal RNA, 446 nt
Filed under: uncultured bacterium
Lineage: Bacteria
Description: partial 16S ribosomal RNA
Rfam family: Bacterial small subunit ribosomal RNA
Source: RNAcentral